This 351-nucleotide ribosomal RNA is filed under the name uncultured bacterium. Its description in RNAcentral is "bacterial SSU rRNA". It matches the Rfam family "Bacterial small subunit ribosomal RNA", at positions 917 to 1271 of the family's 1533-position model. The record is from RNAcentral.
GGGCCCGCACAAGCGGUGGAGUAUGUGGUUUAAUUCGAUGCAACGCGAGGAACCUUACCAGGGCUUAAAUGCAGAGCGACAGAGGUGGAAACACCUCCUUCUUCGGACGGUCUGCAAGGUGCUGCAUGGUUGUCGUCAGCUCGUGCUGUGAAGUGUCGGGUUAAGUCCCAUAACGAGCGCAACCCCUAUUUCUAGUUGCCAGCGGUUCGGCCGGGGACUCUAGAGAAACUGCCAGCGUAAGCUGUGAGGAAGGUGGGGAUGACGUCAAAUCAUCACGGCCCUUACGUCCUGGGCUACACACGUGCUACAAUGGUGAGGACAGAGAGUUGCCAACCCGCGAGGGUGAGCUAA